CCUACGGGAGACAGCAGUGAGGAAUAUUGGUCAAUGGACGAGAGUCUGAACCAGCCAAGUAGCGUGAAGGAUGACUGCCCUAUGGGUUGUAAACUUCUUUUAUAUGGGAAUAAAAUGUUCCACGUGUGGGAUUUUGUAUGUACCAUAUGAAUAAGGAUCGGCUAACUCCGUGCCAGCAGCCGCGGUAAUACGGAGGAUCCGAGCGUUAUCCGGAUUUAUUGGGUUUAAAGGGAGCGUAGGUGGAUUGUUAAGUCAGUUGUGAAAGUUUGCGGCUCAACCGUAAAAUUGCAGUUGAAACUGGCAGUCUUGAGUACAGAGAGGUGGGCGGAAUUCGUGGUGUAGCGGUGAAAUGCUUAGAUAUCACGAAGAACUCCGAUUGCGAAGGCAGUUCACUGGACUGCAACUGACACUGAGGCUCGAAAGUGUGGGUAUCAAACAGGAUUAGAUACCCGAGUAGUC
This 459-nucleotide ribosomal RNA is filed under the name uncultured bacterium. RNAcentral describes it as "partial 16S ribosomal RNA". It matches the Rfam family "Bacterial small subunit ribosomal RNA", at positions 338 to 795 of the family's 1533-position model. The record is from RNAcentral.